GCCUUCGUGGUGUAAUGGUUAGUACAGUCGGUGAGUAUUUUAGAAGUCCAGGUUCGAGUCCCGGCGAGGGCA
This 72-nucleotide transfer RNA is filed under the name Stegodyphus mimosarum. It matches the Rfam family "tRNA". From Rfam's summary of the family: Transfer RNA (tRNA) molecules are approximately 80 nucleotides in length. Their secondary structure includes four short double-helical elements and three loops (D, anti-codon, and T loops). The record is from Rfam by way of RNAcentral. Lineage: Eukaryota; Metazoa; Arthropoda; Arachnida; Araneae; Eresidae.